GAGCCCGGUCGUCUAGCGGCCAAAGGACAACCCGGCUUGGGUUAUGGGGCUCGGGCUAGGGUUCGAAUCCCGGCCGGGCUACC
This 83-nucleotide transfer RNA is filed under the name Pyrobaculum ferrireducens. RNAcentral describes it as "tRNA-Pro". The record is from RNAcentral. Lineage: Archaea; Thermoproteati; Thermoproteota; Thermoprotei; Thermoproteales; Thermoproteaceae.